AACCUGAAGAACUCCAAUGCGGGCGGUGGAUUAUUUCUUAUCCGUCCUCCAUCUACCCCACACAAGAGCUGCUUUUUGUUCCUCUUUUCGCCAAGUUCCAAGGAUACAAUGAGAAGACCUGCCAUCUGCAAACCCGGAAGCAAGCCCUCAUCAGACACCAGGUCUGCUGCCACCAUGAUGUUGGAGUUCUCAGCCUCUAGAACUGAGUCUUGAGACUUCUUUUGGUGUGGAUUCUGGAACUCCUUUCUGAAGCAAGACGCAAAUCUCUCUCAGCAGAGAGUGCCAAGACCAAUCACUUAACCAUGGCAAUCUUCCUCGGCAUGUUAAUUCCGACCCUGACGGUCCCAAGAUGGCUGCAGCAGUUUCAGCCAUGUUAUCCUAAUCCACCAACAUCUGGAGGUAUCUAUCUUUUCCAUCUCCAUCUAUUAAAAAUGUAGGAUACUUUUACCAGAAGGUCCUCCUCUAGACUACUAUUCAUGUUUCAUUGGACCAAUUUGGUCCCAUGGAAUUUCUUAAGUCAUUUACUGAUGAGGGAAGUGGAAUUAUCAUGACUGGAUUAGACUACCUAAGAUUCAUCACUCCUGAUCCUGGAGAAAGAUCAUUUUCUCAGAGCAAAUGGCUGCAUAUGACUGAAGAU
Molecule: long non-coding RNA, 637 nt
Organism: Rhinopithecus roxellana (golden snub-nosed monkey)
Lineage: Eukaryota; Metazoa; Chordata; Mammalia; Primates; Cercopithecidae
Exons: 3
Source: RefSeq, a predicted model, not a curated record